AACGAACGCUGGCGGCAUGCCUAACACAUGCAAGUCGAACGAGACCUUCGGGUCUAGUGGCGCACGGGUGCGUAACGCGUGGGAACCUGCCCUUAGGUUCGGAAUAACUCCCCGAAAGGGGUGCUAAUACCGGAUAAUGUCUUCGGACCAAAGAUUUAUCGCCUUUGGAUGGGCCCGCGUUGGAUUAGCUAGUUGGUAGGGUAAAAGCCUACCAAGGCGACGAUCCAUAGCUGGUCUGAGAGGAUGAUCAGCCACACUGGGACUGAGACACGGCCCAGACUCCUACGGGAGGCAGCAGUGGGGAAUAUUGGACAAUGGGCGAAAGCCUGAUCCAGCAAGGCCGCGUGAGUGAUGAAGGCCUUAGGGUUGUAAAGCUCUUUUACCGGGGAUGAUAAUGACAGUACCGGGAGAAUAAGCUCCGGCUAACUCCGU
This 432-nucleotide ribosomal RNA is filed under the name uncultured bacterium. Its description in RNAcentral is "partial 16S ribosomal RNA". It matches the Rfam family "Bacterial small subunit ribosomal RNA", at positions 29 to 506 of the family's 1533-position model. The record is from RNAcentral.